Molecule: unclassified non-coding RNA, 1556 nt
Filed under: Manduca sexta (tobacco hornworm)
Lineage: Eukaryota; Metazoa; Arthropoda; Insecta; Lepidoptera; Sphingidae
Description: transcription termination factor, mitochondrial, transcript variant X1
Source: RNAcentral
AGUCUGCUGUCAAACACUGUCAAAAGCAGUGGAAUGUCAAAUGUACUCAAUUAUCAAUAUAGUGUACUUCAGUUUCAAAUAUACAUUAAAUUUACCACCGAUCAAGUAAAAAUAAGACUAUUUUUGGAACAUGUAUGAAAAUAAUCCUUUCAGCUUAUCUAUUUACUAUUUAUAGCUUAUUCUAUCAUGUAUUAGUAUGUACAUAAUGAUUUUAUAUGACCGCUGUUAAAGUAUACUUUAUUACGACAAUGUAAUUCUUUAUUAAACUGAGUAUUGUAGUUAUAAGCACGGAAAAUAAUUCCUUAUUAAAUUCGAAAUGAUUUGGAAAUCAUUGAUGCCAUCUCUUUCUCUUCUUUUGUCGAAAAAUGUAACAAUUAGAACUUUAGUAUUGGCCGCUGACGGUAAUACUUCCAAAAGAAAAUACAGAGCAAUAGACUCCGCAAAAUCAUUAACAGCUGUAUCAUACGGAUAUAAGGCAUCUUCAAAACAAAAUGGUACUGAUGAAUCUAAGGCCAAAAUUAUAUUGCAACUCAAUUUUAAAUCAGAUGAGGAUGCUUUACCAUUUCAAAAUUUACCAAUAACAACAUUAAAACAUGUUCUACAUGUAACUGCAAUUGACAAAAAAAAUGGUUAUUGUGAAAACAGACUUUACUAUAUAGCAUCUCGAAUUAAGUGUCCUCCAAAUGUCCUCAGUGAGCAGCUGGCAAAAAGGAUAUUUGUUUAUUCCUUGACAUUUGACUGGCUCAAGAGAUCAUUAGAUGUAUUAUUGGAAAUGAACGUAUCUGGUGAGAGAAUAUUGAGGGAUUUGUGGGUCCUCAAAUACCAUCAUGAGACAAUCCAGAAAAGACUUACAAAAGUCCGAAGCAUGGGAGUGGAUGUAUUAUAUCCUUGGAUGGUGAGAUGUUCCGAGAACAUUUUAAAUAGAUCAAUCCAAUUAUCACAAGAGACAAAGGAUAUUCUUGGAGAGACAAAAAAUACCCAAAUUUAUUUAGCCAAUCGCUUAAAUACAACACUGGAAGCUGUUGAAGAAAUGUCUAUUAAAAUGCCUGCACUGAAGACCAUGAGGGUUAUUAAGGUAAAGAAUUUUUUAGAUUUUCUUUUGGCAGAGGGCUUUACAGUUGAAGAUAUAGCAAGUAAGCCAAGAGUGUUAUCUGCUUCACAAAAAACAGUACACCAAAGAUUAGAGAAGUUACGCAAAUUAGGUUUAACUCAAAUAAAUUUGAAUGUACUAUGCAGAGGCAGAAAGGGUUUUAAAAAGUAUUGCGAUUCAAUAGAGAACAUUACUAAAAAUUUUAUAGCAGUUAAGAUGGCUAACCUUGUUACUCUAUCUUAUAAAUUCACUGUGCAUCCCGUCACAAGAUGAGAAUCUAAAGAAAUAAUUAAUUACUGUGCAUAUACAAUCUGAGACUAAAAUUAACUGAGAAUACAUGACAUCGAAAAACAAACAUAGUAAUAGUAUUACAGCAAAUGUUAAUAAUUUAUUAAAUAUAAUAAUAAGCUUACUGAAGUUAAAAAAUAACUGUUUUAAGCAAUAAAUUAUUGUUGAAUUACUUAUA